UCUGGUUGAUCCUGCCGGCGGGCACCGCUAUUGGAAUGCGAUUAAGCCAUGCGAGUCGAGAGGUGCAAGACCUCGGCGGACGGCUCAGUAACACGCGGAUAAUCUGCCCUCAGGUGGAGGAUAACCUCGGGAAACUGAGAAUAAUACCCCAUAGGUGCAGGGUGCUGGAAUGCCCCUAUACCGAAAACUCCGGUGCCUGAGGAUGAGUCUGCGGCCUAUCAGGUUGUAGUGGGUGUAACGGACCCACUAGCCUAUGACGGGUACGGGUCAUGAGAGUGAUUGCCCGGAGAUGGGUUCUGAGACACGAACCCAGGGUCUACGGACCGCAGCAGGCGCGAAAACUUGGCAAUGCGCUCACGCGCGACCAGGGUAUUCCAAGUGUUGCAACAUUGUUGCAACUGUUUUGCUGCCUAAAAAGCAGCGAGAGUAAGGGCCGGGUAAGACGGGUGCCAACCCACGGACAGGAUAUUUCAUGUCCGGUUCGCGGAGCAUAAGCCGCCGCGGUAAUACCCGCGGCCCGAGUGGUGCUCAUUAUUAUUGAGCCUAAAACGUCCGUAGCCGGCUUGGUAAAUCUCUGGGUAAUCGGGCCGCUCAACGGUUCGAAUUCCGGAAAAACUGCCAGGCUGGACUGGGGGAAGUUUGAGGUACUUCGGGGGUAGGGGUAAAAUCCUGUU
This 674-nucleotide ribosomal RNA is filed under the name uncultured archaeon. RNAcentral's name for it is "bacterial SSU rRNA". It matches the Rfam family "Archaeal small subunit ribosomal RNA", at positions 1 to 644 of the family's 1478-position model. The record is from RNAcentral.